Brachypodium distachyon (stiff brome) is the source of this 133-nucleotide non-coding RNA. NCBI's taxonomy places the organism in Eukaryota, Viridiplantae, Streptophyta, Magnoliopsida, Poales, Poaceae. The record is from Rfam.
AUUGUACUCCCUCCGUCCAACAAAAGAUGUCUCAAGUUUGUCAAAAUUUGGAUGUAUCUAGACAUGACUUAGUGUAUAGAUGCAUUCAAAUUUAGUAGUUGAGACAACCUUUGUUGGACGGAGGAAGUACUGU